This 75-nucleotide transfer RNA is filed under the name Amylostereum chailletii. RNAcentral describes it as "tRNA-Met". The record is from RNAcentral. Lineage: Eukaryota; Fungi; Basidiomycota; Agaricomycetes; Russulales; Stereaceae.
AUCAGCAUGGCGCAGCUGGUUUAGGGCGCGGGGCCCAUAACCCCGAGGUCCUCUGAUCGAAACGGAGUGCUGCUA